ACCCUCUCAGGGUCGCAACUGGAGAGUUUCCGGUACUCUACCAGUCUCGGCUACGGGAGGGAGAGUCAAGCAGAGGCCCGUCCGUUCCAUUCCUAGCUUGGGCCGUGGCUAGCGGGUGGAAGGCCGUCGGCUACAAGU
Molecule: small nucleolar RNA, 138 nt
Organism: Ornithorhynchus anatinus (platypus)
Lineage: Eukaryota; Metazoa; Chordata; Mammalia; Monotremata; Ornithorhynchidae
Source: RefSeq, a predicted model, not a curated record